RNAcentral lists this ribosomal RNA (510 nucleotides) under Blastobacter sp. CL1.25. Its description in RNAcentral is "bacterial SSU rRNA". It matches the Rfam family "Bacterial small subunit ribosomal RNA", at positions 17 to 502 of the family's 1533-position model. Lineage: Bacteria; Pseudomonadati; Pseudomonadota; Alphaproteobacteria; Hyphomicrobiales; Nitrobacteraceae. The record is from RNAcentral.
CCCUGGCUCAAACGAACGCUGGCGGCAGGCUUAACACAUGCAAGUCGAGCGCCCCUCCUUCAAGCAAGCUUGAAGGAUUUUUAUCCUUGAAAAGGAAGAUCAAGACAGCUUUCAAGAAGCUUUCUUGAUGGAGGGGAGCGGCAGACGGGUGAGUAACGCGUGGGAAUCUACCCAUCUCUACGGAAUAACUCAGGGAAACUUGUGCUAAUACCGUAUACGCCCUUUUGGGGAAAGAUUUAUCGGAGAUGGAUGAGCCCGCGUUGGAUUAGCUAGUUGGUGGGGUAAAGGCCUACCAAGGCGACGAUCCAUAGCUGGUCUGAGAGGAUGAUCAGCCACAUUGGGACUGAGACACGGCCCAAACUCCUACGGGAGGCAGCAGUGGGGAAUAUUGGACAAUGGGCGCAAGCCUGAUCCAGCCAUGCCGCGUGAGUGAUGAAGGCCUUAGGGUUGUAAAGCUCUUUCACCGGAGAAGAUAAUGACGGUAUCCCGGAGAAGAAGCCCCGGCUAACU